UGAACGCUGGCGGUAUGCUUUACACAUGCAAGUCGUACGAGAGUUUUUAACUCAAGUGGCGGACGGGUGAGUAACACGUAAGAAUUUGCCUUUAGGAGGGGGACAACAACUGGAAACGGUUGCUAAUACCCCAUAUGCUUUCGAGUGAAACGGUUUUUCCGCCUAAAGAGAAGCUUGCGGCUGAUUAGCUUGUUGGUAGGGUAAUGGCUUACCAAGGCGACGAUCAGUAUCUGGUUUGAGAGGACGAUCAGACACACUGGAACUGAGACACGGUCCAGACUCCUACGGGAGGCAGCAGUGGGGAAUUUUCCGCAAUGGGCGAAAGCCUGACGGAGCAAUACCGCGUGAGGGAUGACUGCCUAUGGGUUGUAAACCUCUUUUUUCAGGGAAGAAUAAAUGACGUGUACCUGAAGAAUAAGCAUCGGCUAACUCC
RNAcentral lists this ribosomal RNA (433 nucleotides) under uncultured bacterium. Its description in RNAcentral is "bacterial SSU rRNA". It matches the Rfam family "Bacterial small subunit ribosomal RNA", at positions 30 to 504 of the family's 1533-position model. The record is from RNAcentral.